This 362-nucleotide ribosomal RNA is filed under the name Bacillus amyloliquefaciens. Its description in RNAcentral is "bacterial SSU rRNA". It matches the Rfam family "Bacterial small subunit ribosomal RNA", at positions 26 to 360 of the family's 1533-position model. Lineage: Bacteria; Bacillati; Bacillota; Bacilli; Caryophanales; Bacillaceae. The record is from RNAcentral.
AAAACCCCGAAGCAAGCGCAGUUGCGAGCGGCUGCCAUAANAUCNUGCAGUCGAGACGGACAGAUGGGAGACUUGACUCCCUGAUGUUAGCGGCGGACGGGUGAGUAACACGUGGGUAACCUGCCUGUAAGACUGGGAUAACUCCGGGAAACCGGGGCUAAUACCGGAUGGCUUGUUUGAACCGCAUGGUUCAGACAUAAAAGGUGGCUUCGGCUACCACUUACAGAUGGACCCGCGGCGCAUUAGCUAGUUGGUGAGGUAACGGCUCACCAAGGCAACGAUGCGUAGCCGACCUGAGAGGGUGAUCGGCCACACUGGGACUGAGACACGGCCAGACUCCCUACGGGAGGCAGCAGUAGGGG